RNAcentral lists this ribosomal RNA (492 nucleotides) under uncultured bacterium. Its description in RNAcentral is "partial 16S ribosomal RNA". It matches the Rfam family "Bacterial small subunit ribosomal RNA", at positions 29 to 507 of the family's 1533-position model. The record is from RNAcentral.
AGUGAACGCUGGCGGUAGGUCUAACACAUGCAAGUCGAACGGCAGCACAGUAAGAGCUUGCUCUUACGGGUGGCGAGUGGCGGACGGGUGAGGAAUACAUCGGAAUCUACUUUUUCGUGGGGGAUAACGUAGGGAAACUUACGCUAAUACCGCAUACGACCUACGGGUGAAAGCAGGGGAUCUUCGGACCUUGCGCGAUUGAAUGAGCCGAUGUCGGAUUAGCUAGUUGGCGGGGUACAGGCCCACCAAGGCGACGAUCCGCAGCUGGUCUGAGAGGAUGAUCAGCCACACGGGAACGGGGACACGGUCCAGGCUCCUACGGGAGGCAGCAGUGGGGAAUAUUGGACAAUGGGCGCAAGCCUGAUCCAGCCAUACCGCGUGGGUGAAGAAGGCCUUCGGGUCGUAAAGCCCUUUUGUUGGGAAAGAAAAGCAGCAGGUUAAUACCCCGCUGUUCUGACGGUACCCAAAGAAUAAGCACCGGCUAACCUCGUG